RNAcentral lists this unclassified non-coding RNA (2455 nucleotides) under Hevea brasiliensis (rubber tree). Lineage: Eukaryota; Viridiplantae; Streptophyta; Magnoliopsida; Malpighiales; Euphorbiaceae. The record is from RNAcentral.
ACCCAACUGAAAGCGAGAUAUGUAAGGUGAAAGAGAUGAUAAUCUGUAAACAAGAAUUUAAAAAGAAAGAGAGAAAGAUACCCAUCUUCUCUUUUUCUCCAACUAAUCUUCUAAUCCUAUCAUGAAAAUAUCAAGCAUGAAUAAUGAACAAACAAAAAAAAUUACAAGUUAAAUGGCUGAGCUAUCCUAACUCACUUUUCCCUCCUUGUUGACCAAAUUUGGGUUGGAAGAUAUAAAAUCGAUCUUCCAACCCAAGUAGUGCCAAAUAUAAACAAGAGUACAUCAUCGGAUGCUCUCUGCGCCCGAGACAUAGUCACCUGACAAUUAGUACUCAGGUAGAAUCCAAAGCCAAUAUUGGCUUCCACCUUAUACUAAUACAUGAAAUGAAUAUGAUUUCUUCUCCUAAUGCUAACAACUACUUAGACUUCCUAGUGUCUUAAUUAACCAAACAUGUAUAAUGAUGAAGUUGACAAUGUUGGGGUUUGAAUGGAUAUUUUAAUUGAAGACAGUUAGUGGAGUGAGCUUUGCAUCUAAAAAUGCCAGUUUCCACGAAUGAACAAAUCUGAUGCCGAAUUCUUGGAUUUCCUCUGUUUUGUUAUGCUAGCUGAUCAGGCAUCCUUCUCUUGAACUUGAACCAGUGACUUAAGAAUGUUUUGGGUGAUUCAUUUCCUUCGUACUGCUCUUUGACCCUUUUCACCACAUGCUAUAUUGUUAGCUUGUGAAAAGAAAAACGAAUUUUCCAAGCUUAUUAGGUUGAUGAAUUUUGCUCAGAAGCCGUUCCAGAGGCUUGCAAAGCACCUGGUCCCGCUCCCACCACCCCUACCGGUGUUGUCGUGGAGAUUGUUGUUGUCGCAAUCAUAGGAAUUGUCAUUGUUGUUGCACCUGUGGCAGCAGUCGCCAUUGCCAUGGAAGAAGGAAGUGAUAAAAUUCCUGUAGAGCCAUAUUGCUGAGGUAAAUAUGGGUACUGUACCAUUUGGGGAUAUUGAACUCCAAAGCCAUGAUCUUGGCUACUCUGUCCAUACUGUGUAUAAAGUGGAUAGAAGUUAUGGAACAUCCCUGGCGUUCCUGAUACACCAGUAGAGUAAUAAGGGGAAAAUUGUUGACCUCCGUAUACCCCAUAGUAAUUCAAAGGGUAUAUGGCGUCUUGUGAAUAUCCAGUGUACCCAUAAGUUGAAUAAGGAAAUGUGUAUUGCCCAGUGGGUUGAUGGAUAUAUGAUGAUGAAGAACCAUGAUAAGCAGGUGGAGCCACCAAUCCAGGUGCUGGUCUAAACCGUCCUGCUCCUGCAAAAUAUAUUUAAAUGUUUGUCUCAUCGUGCAUUGUUUAGAUCCCACAUUUCAGUUUAGAAGCAGAUGAAUCUGGAGUUUGUUAUGAACUUUGUGCUGCAGUUGUGAAAGGGGUGAACAUGAUAGAGGGUUCAGAAAUUGACAUCUUGGAAUGAAAAAGAGAGGAGCUUUUUGAGAUUUUGAGAAAAUCACUUGAAAAACCUUAGCCCAUUAGCAUUCAAUUGCUCAACGUUGGAAAAUGUUCAAUUGAAUCAUUAAAAUGCACAUUGAGAGUAGUAUAUUGCACCAAUAAUUUAGCAAGAAAAAUGAAAGAGAUCAGAGAGUAAGAGAGAGAUAUAGACCAUGUUGAGGAUUUGGUGGACGAGUCUUGUGUGCACCAAGUGAUGCAAGAUUGCAGUUUGUCCUUCUUCCAUCAAUCACAGGAGAUGGGUUUUGACAAGCUCUCAUGGCUGCGUCAGGAUCCUUAAAUGUAACAAAGCCAUAGCCCUUGGAUCUCCCAGUGUUCUUAUCCGUGAUAACAACAGCCUCCAGGAUCUCCCCAAACUGCUCAAAAUAACUCCUCAUGGUAUCCCUUUGGGUUUCCCAGGCCAAGCCUCCAACAAAGAUUUUAGUAAAAGUUGUGUCAUUGUACUGGCCUGUAUUGCUGCUGCCACCCACCAUCUGAAAUUGCCUUUGUUGAGACAUGAUACACAAUAUAACACCAAAAGAAAGGAUACAAAAAAAGAGAGCAACUAAAACAAGAAAAAAGAGAGAGGAAAAAGAAGAAACCGCCCAGAACAAAAAUUAAGGAACCUUCACCCCCUCUUCCCCUCAAGAAAACAAAUAUAGAGAGGAAAAAGAUGGUAGAUAAAUCCAGAAAGAGGCGUUUGUUUUUGAUGAUCACAUCAAUCAAUCCAAGCACUUCUUUUUAUCUCGGACACUCGUGUGCGUUUGUUUCUCUUUUUCUUGUUGUUCUGGUUGUUGUUUUUCUAAUGUUAUAACUGCCGCUUUUUUACACCCACAACACUUCAGAUUCCUCAACAACGAUACCCGUAACGAGAAAAUCAUUACUGUUAGAGAACUCCCUUGUGGAUAUAAGAAGAGAAAAGGGGGUUAAAAGGAAAAAGAAAACCCCAAAAGAAAUAUUUAUAUGUACAAGAAUAAUAGGGGUGGAUGAUAAUAGAAGAAGAAA